Molecule: non-coding RNA, 768 nt
Organism: Callithrix jacchus (white-tufted-ear marmoset)
Lineage: Eukaryota; Metazoa; Chordata; Mammalia; Primates; Cebidae
Source: RefSeq, a predicted model, not a curated record
UUUCAGGACAGAAAGAUUCCCCUCCGGCUGGGCGUGGUGGCUCAUGCCUGUAAUCCAAGCACUUUGGAGGCUAAGGCGGGCGGAUCACCUGAGGCCCUGGAUGACUCAGUUCUGAAUAGCUACUCUUCCAACUCCUCUCUGCCUCCUUCUGAUUCCUCCAUUGCUUCUCCUCUGCUCUUCUUCUUGUGUUAUGAAAAUACCUCAACCCUGAGCUCAGCUCUUCCCAAAGCCAGCAGAGAGAGACUCUCUCAGGAGGCUGCCAGAAUCAUGUUCAUCCCAGACUAGGGCUCCUUCCAGAAACUAGCUAGCUGGCUAGGGUCAGACAUGGAGAGAAAUGGCAGAAGAAAGUGUCUCCAAACUGUUACUGAUGGUUGAUGAUUCCACUCGGAAUUUCCUCAUCUUUAAGUUCCAGAGACAAAGUCUCACUGUGUUACCCAGGCUAGUCUCAAACUCCUGACCUCAAGCAAUCCUCCCACCUCAGCCCCACAAAGUGCAAGAAUUACAGAUAUGAGCCACUGCACCCGGCCAAGGGGCAGGGUCUUGCUCUGUUGCCCAGGCUGGAGAGCGGUGGUUAUCAAGCUUACUGCAACCUCAAACUCCUGGCCUCAAGUGAUCCUCCCACCUUGGCCUCUCGAUCCUUCCUUUUUAUUGCUGAGUAAUAUGCUAUUGUUUGAAUAUAUUACAAUGUAUUUCUUCACUUGUUGAUGGAUAUUUGGAGUUUUCCAGUUUUGUAUUACAAAUAAAGCUACAGUGAAUAUUCAUGUACAA